AAACACUAUGCAAUUGUAAACUACUUAGAUAGCCAAAUUCAACCUUCUCUUCUUACUUUAUACAAAAAAUAUAUAUAAAUAAAAGUUCAAUGCAUGUGCUUGGAUAUGAAUUCAUACGGUAAUAAUAGAAUGGUAAAGUACAUGAAAAAGAGAUAGAAGACGAAAAGUUGUAGAUGAAAGAAAGAAAAAUAGACAAUAAAAAAUAAAA
This 208-nucleotide long non-coding RNA is filed under the name Lathyrus oleraceus (garden pea). Its description in RNAcentral is "Pisum sativum (pea) long non-coding RNA (PSAT_LNC033532)". The record is from RNAcentral. Lineage: Eukaryota; Viridiplantae; Streptophyta; Magnoliopsida; Fabales; Fabaceae.